AUGGCUUCUGCUGAAACCCUAGCCCGCUCCCCAUCUCGCGAGCCCUCGUCCGACCCGCCCCGCGAUGCCUCGCGCGACGCCUCGCGCGACGCCUCCUCCGAGCCCCACCACAACGGCUCAGCCAACGCCGCUGGCGACGGCGACUCGUCCUCCCGCCGCCGCCGCCGCAGCCGAUGGGAGCAGUCCAACGACGAGUCCGGUGCCAAUUCAGGCGGCGAGGGCGGCGCGGGAGGACGGAAGCGGAAGUCGCGCUGGGCCGAGGAGGAGCCCCGCCCGACCAUCGCGCUUCCGGAUUUCAUGAAGGACUUCGCCGCCGAGAUGGAUCCCGAGGUGCACAACCUCAACUCGCGCCUCCUGGAGAUUUCGCGCCUGCUGCAGUCGGGGCUCCCCCUCGACGACCGCCCAGAGGGCGCCCGCUCGCCGUCCCCUGAGCCAAUAUACGAUAACCUGGGCAUCCGCAUCAACACCCGCGAAUACCGGGCGAGGGAGCGCCUUAACCGCGAGCGGCAGGAGAUCAUCUCCCAGCUGAUCCGCCGCAAUCCCGCCUUCAAGCCCCCGGCGGAUUACCGCCCACCCAAGCUCCAUAAGAAGCUCUACAUCCCCAUGAAGGAGUACCCUGGGUACAACUUUAUUGGGCUCAUUAUUGGGCCCCGUGGCAACACACAGAAGCGGAUGGAGAAGGAGACGGGGGCCAAGAUCGUAAUCCGAGGGAAGGGCAGCGUCAAGGAAGGGAAGUUGCUGCAGAAGAGGGACUUGAAGCCAGAUCCCAGUGAGAAUGAGGACCUUCAUGUGCUUGUUGAGGCUGAUACUGAAGAAGCGUUAGAGGCUGCUGCAGGCAUGGUGGAGAAGCUGCUUACCCCUGUGGACGAAGUGCUAAAUGAGCACAAACGACAGCAGCUGCGGGAGCUUGCAGCCCUGAAUGGAACAAUCAGGGACGAUGAGUUUUGUAGGACUUGCGGGGAGCCGGGUCACCGACAGUAUGCAUGCCCGAACAGGACAACAACGUUUAAGAGCGAGGUGCAGUGUAAGAUCUGUGGCGAUGGUGGCCACCCGACAAUUGAUUGUCCAGUGAAGGGCACAUCUGGGAAGAAAAUGGACGACGAGUACCAGAACUUCCUUGCUGAGCUUGGUGGGAGUGCACCUGAGUCCAUGAACAAGUCUGGUGGUCCGAUGCUGGCUAUAACAGGUGGUGGUGGUGGUGGCGGCGGCGGCGGCGACGGUAGUGGUAGCAACUCACCCUGGGCUGGGGGUAAUGGUGCAGCAACAACAGGAGCCAACGGGCUCAAGAAGGAUUAUGACGAGACCAAUCUUUAUAUUGGGUACUUGCCACCUAUGUUUGAUGAUUCAGGGCUGAUCAACCUAUUUUCACAAUUUGGGGAGAUUGUCAUGGCAAAGGUUAUAAAGGAUCGCAACACAGGGCAGAGUAAAGGGUAUGGAUUUGUGAAAUAUUCAGAUGUCUCACAGGCUAAUGCAGCUAUUGCUGCAAUGAGUGGUUACCAUCUUGAAGGGAGAACUAUUGCAGUCCGAGUUGCAGGCAAGCCACCACAGCCAGCUGCCCCCCCUGGUCCUCCAGCAGCGCCAGUACCACAGAUGUACCACUCUGCAGAUCCUUCUGCUGGUGGCUACAACUCGCAGCCCUACAUGGGAGGACAUCCACCACCACCAGCUCCUCCAGGUAGCUAUGCUCCAGUUCCUUGGGGGCAACCACCACCUUAUGCUUCGUACCCUCCCCCGCCACCACCAGGCAUGUACAAUCCUCCACCUGGCCAAACUGCUCCACAUUCAUAUGGUAUGCAAUACCCACCACCACCAGCUCCAGUACCUCCACCAGGCACUACGUCAAAUGAUGGUGCACAGAACUACCCUCGGGGUGUAACACCACCAAGUUCUGGUGCACCUACCCAGCCCGUCCCUGCUCCAGCAUAUGGGACCUCUGGUGCGCAAAACAUGCCACAUAUGUACCCUCCACCACCUUAUGGUUAUGCCCCAUAUUAUCCAUCUGUCACACCAGUCCAGCCGCCUCCACCACCACUUCCACCAGCUAGUGUUGAUCCUUCACAAAGCAUUGCAACUGCACCUUGGGCCACUCACAAUGCACCUCCUCCACCGCCACCGCCGGCUAGUGUUGAUUCCUCACAGAGCAUUGCAACGGCACCUUGGGCUACCCACAAUGCACCGCCGCCACCACCUUUGCCAUCCUCCAACGACCAGCCCACUCCUCCCUAUGGUGCUGAUGCAGAGUAUGAUAAAUUUAUGUCGGAGAUGAAGUGA
RNAcentral lists this ribosomal RNA (2271 nucleotides) under Triticum aestivum (bread wheat). RNAcentral describes it as "partial small subunit ribosomal RNA". The record is from RNAcentral. Lineage: Eukaryota; Viridiplantae; Streptophyta; Magnoliopsida; Poales; Poaceae.